Molecule: long non-coding RNA, 700 nt
Organism: Arabidopsis thaliana (thale cress)
Lineage: Eukaryota; Viridiplantae; Streptophyta; Magnoliopsida; Brassicales; Brassicaceae
Product: other RNA
Exons: 1
Source: RefSeq
AGUGAAAUCUUUAAUGUGUGUCACUGCUUGAACCAAUCUUUCCAUAACAGAAAAGCCAUGAUGACCACUUGGUCCAAUCCACCAACGUCUGUUAAAGGUAGAGAGAUCUCUCCCUUGGUUUUGAUCCUCAAGACUUGAUCUUUCUGGACAAUCUUGACCAUACAUCUGAGAUAAGCUAUUAGAUGUGUCUUGCGUUGGAGACCACAUGAAGGAAGAAGGAUCAAAAGGGGCUACAGAAGUUGAAGGACUAAAAUUAAGGAACUCGGAUGCAUCUGUUGUCUCUAACCAGCAACCUUCUAGAAGUAAUCCGUCCAUGAAUGAAGAAUCCAUAGCUGGAUCCAUAGGAAGAGAAUUGUUUUCCAUAGCUCACUCAAAUCAAUGAAGCCACAUCUGAAAAAACAAAGUAUCCAUUUUUCACCAAACCCCAAACAAAUUAAGAUGAAACAGAACAGAACAGAAAAAGAACCACACAUUUCAGGAAGAGAAUCAAAUCAAAGCAAAAAUCUUGUAAUAGAAAAGAAACUGAGAAUCAAGAUUAGUGAAAAGCCCUAACUUUUCUUUUUAAGGUUGAUUCUUACAAGUUGGUUAAAUAUACCCUAAUCUCUUGUGGGUUAAGAGAUACUGAUUUAACACCAAUCAAAGAAGGAAUAUUUUUUAACACUAAUCUGAUUCCUGAUUAACAAAAAAGAUGAGACUUUUG